CGGGUGUAGUUCAAUGGUAGAACACAAGCUUCCCAAGCUUGUAGCGUGGGUUCGAUUCCCAUCGCCC
Molecule: transfer RNA, 67 nt
Filed under: bovine gut metagenome
Rfam family: tRNA
About the family: Transfer RNA (tRNA) molecules are approximately 80 nucleotides in length. Their secondary structure includes four short double-helical elements and three loops (D, anti-codon, and T loops).
Source: RNAcentral